Long non-coding RNA from Xenopus laevis (African clawed frog), 927 nucleotides. RefSeq lists it as uncharacterized. The record is from RefSeq and is a predicted model, not a curated record. Lineage: Eukaryota; Metazoa; Chordata; Amphibia; Anura; Pipidae. The transcript has 10 exons.
CUAAGUAUGUGAUAACCAUGCAGGGAAUGCAGACAGGGGAGUAUUCUACUCCUUCUAGUCUGUGGGAGGGGAAAUAUCGCGAGAAGUAAUUUCCUCCCAUGCUGCUUUGCAACCACUUAGAAGAAAGCUGAGACUGUAGCGCCACGUGCACUUUUGAAGCAGCAGGGAUUUAUCUUAGUUGAGGACUGAGGCCUUCAUAUGAACUGGAAAAUACCAUGAAGACUGAGGUACUCCAGACCGUGUUAUCCAAUGCUUUUCUCUUCCUGUUCUCUUAUGAACAGCUGCGGGAGGGGAUAUGUCAUGAGAAGCGACUUCUCCCAUAAAGCUUUUCUCAACAGAAGAAAGCAGACAUGUUUUAAAUAGCAAGGAUGUAUCUGGAUUUAGGCAGAUUUAAUAUGAAUUGACUAAGGAUUUUGUAUGAACUGCAAAAUACCAAGAAUUACAGAGGAACUCUGGAUAGUGGGGCAGUGUUCUCCAGUGCCUCCCCCUUCUGUUCUCCUGCUCCAGCUGUGGGAGGGGAAGUAUCCAAAAAAAAAGGGGACUUCCUCUCAUGAUGCUUUGCCACAACAGAAGAACAUGUUGUAAAACCCUGGGAUUUAUGCAGGAUUAUUCUUAAUGGACUGAGGAUUUCAUAAGAACUCCAAAAUAACAUGAGGACUUGAGGGAAGUUGCCUUAUGAAGAAACUUCGGGUGACCAGGAAAAAAAGCAUUAUGAUUUUCUAUGAACUGCAAAUUACCACCAAGACUGAGGGUUACAUUUUAGUGGAAAAUGAUGAGGUGAUCAGUCUUGAAGAAUAAAACUCUGAAAACAAGUGCCGCCGCGCCCCCCCCAAUUUUUAUGUAUACUAAUGUCAACCAUCACAUGGAUAUGCACAUUUUUAAAGAAAUGUUUAACAUAACUGGCUGUAAUAAACAUUGACAAAAGUA